UGUAUAAUGGGUCAGCGACUUAUAUUCUGUAGCAAGGUUAACCGAAUAGGGGAGCCGAAGGGAAACCGAGUCUUAACUGGGCGUUAAGUUGCAGGGUAUAGACCCGAAACCCGGUGAUCUAGCCAUGGGCAGGUUGAAGGUUGGGUAACACUAACUGGAGGACCGAACCGACUAAUGUUGAAAAAUUAGCGGAUGACUUGUGGCUGGGGGUGAAAGGCCAAUCAAACCGGGAGAUAGCUGGUUCUCCCCGAAAGCUAUUUAGGUAGCGCCUCGUGAAUUCAUCUCCGGGGGUAGAGCACUGUUUCGGCAAGGGGGUCAUCCCGACUUACCAACCCGAUGCAAACUGCGAAUACCGGAGAAUGUUAUCACGGGAGACACACGGCGGGUGCUAACGUCCGUCGUGAAGAGGGAAACAACCCAGACCGCCAGCUAAGGUCCCAAAGUCAUGGUUAAGUGGGAAACGAUGUGGGAAGGCCCAGACAGCCAGGAUGUUGGCUUAGAAGCAGCCAUCAUUUAAAGAAAGCGUAAUAGCUCACUGGUCGAGUCGGCCUGCGCGGAAGAUGUAACGGGGCUAAACCAUGCACCGAAGCUGCGGCAGCGACACUGUGUGUUGUUGGGUAGGGGAGCGUUCUGUAAGCCUGUGAAGGUGUGCUGUGAGGCAUGCUGGAGGUAUCAGAAGUGCGAAUGCUGACAUAAGUAACGAUAAAGCGGGUGAAAAGCCCGCUCGCCGGAAGACCAAGGGUUCCUGUCCAACGUUAAUCGGGGCAGGGUGAGUCGACCCCUA
RNAcentral lists this ribosomal RNA (784 nucleotides) under Escherichia coli. RNAcentral's name for it is "partial 23S ribosomal RNA". It matches the Rfam family "Bacterial large subunit ribosomal RNA", at positions 609 to 1393 of the family's 2925-position model. Lineage: Bacteria; Pseudomonadati; Pseudomonadota; Gammaproteobacteria; Enterobacterales; Enterobacteriaceae. The record is from RNAcentral.